ACUGCUCAGUAACACGUGGACAACCUGCCCUUAGGUUGGGUAUAAACCCGGGAAACUGGGUAUAAUACCCGAUAGGUCUCGAUUGCUGGAAUGCAUCGAGAUUUAAAGCUCCGGCGCCUAAGGAUGGGUCUGCGGCCUAUCAGGUAGUAGUGGGUGUAGCGUACCUACUAGCCUACGACGGGUACGGGUUGUGAGAGCAAGAGCCCGGAGAUGGAUUCUGAGACACGAAUCCAGGCCCUACGGGGUGCAGCAGGCGCGAAAACUUUACAAUGCUGGCAACAGCGAUAAGGGAACCUCGAGUGCCAGGUUACAAAUCUGGCUGUCGAGAUGCCUAAAAAGCAUUUCAUAGCAAGGGCCGGGCAAGACCGGUACCAGCCGCCGCGGUAACACCGGCGGCUCGAGUGGUAACCGUUAUUAUUGGGUCUAAAGGGUCUGUAGCCGGCCGGAUAAGUCUCUUGAGAAAUCUGGCAGCUUAACUGUCAGGCUUUCAGGAGAUACUGUCUGGCUCGAGGCCGGGAGAGGUGAGAGGUACUUCAGGGGUAGGGGUGAAAUCUUGUAAUCCUUGAAGGACCACCAGUGGCGAAGGCGUCUCACCAGAACGGACCUGACGGCAAGGGACGAAAGCUAGGGGCACGAACCGGAUUAGAUACCCGGGUAGUCCUAGCCGUAAACGAUACUCGCUAGGUGUCGGCCACGGUGCGACCGUUGUCGGUGCCGUAGGGAAGCCGUGAAGCGAGCCACCUGGGAAGUACGGCCGCAAGGCUGAAACUUAAAGGAAUUGGCGGGGGAGCACCACAACGGGUGGAGCUUGCGGUUUAAUUGGAUUCAACGCCGGAAAUCUUACCGGGACCGACAGCAAUAUGAAGGCCAGGCUGAAGACUUUGCCGGAUUAGCUGAGAGGUGGUGCAUGGCCGUCGUCAGUUCGUACUGUGAAGCAUCCUGUUAAGUCAGGCAACGAGCGAGACCCCCACC
RNAcentral lists this ribosomal RNA (972 nucleotides) under uncultured archaeon. RNAcentral describes it as "bacterial SSU rRNA". It matches the Rfam family "Archaeal small subunit ribosomal RNA", at positions 85 to 1058 of the family's 1478-position model. The record is from RNAcentral.